CCUACGGGUGGCAGCAGUGAGGAAUAUUGGUCAAUGGGCGGAAGCCUGAACCAGCCCAGUCGCGUGAGGGAUUAAGGCCCUGCGGGUCGUAAACCUCUUUUGCCGGGAGCAGUGGUCCGGACGUGUCCGGGCCGGGAGAGUACCCGGAGAACAAGCAUCGGCUAACUCCGUGCCAGCAGCCGCGGUAAUACGUAGGAUGAGAGCGUUAUCCGGAUUUAUUGGGUUUAAAGGGUGCGUAGGCGGUCAUUUAAGCCGGCGGUCACAUGUCGGGGCUCAACCCCGGCCUGCCGUCGGAACUGGGUGCCUUGAGUGGGCGAGAAGUAUGCGGAAUGCGUGGUGUAGCGGUGAAAUGCAUAGAUAUCACGCAGAACCCCGAUUGCGAAGGCAGCAUACCGGCGCCCGACUGACGCUGAGGCACGAAAGGGCGGGUAUCGAACAGGAUUAGAUACCCCAGUAGUC
RNAcentral lists this ribosomal RNA (459 nucleotides) under uncultured bacterium. Its description in RNAcentral is "partial 16S ribosomal RNA". It matches the Rfam family "Bacterial small subunit ribosomal RNA", at positions 338 to 795 of the family's 1533-position model. The record is from RNAcentral.